Molecule: RNA transcript, 1198 nt
Organism: Ixodes scapularis (black-legged tick)
Lineage: Eukaryota; Metazoa; Arthropoda; Arachnida; Ixodida; Ixodidae
Exons: 8
Source: RefSeq, a predicted model, not a curated record
AUGCUGCGCCACAUGAACGUGGAGGUCUUCAGCGAUCAGACCUUCUACAGGUAUCAGAAGAGCCGCCUGUUCCCUGCAAUCGACGAAGUCUACCUGCAAGAACAACAGGAUCUGAUCAGACAGCUGGAAGACCAGGAUGUUGACAUCACCAGCGAUGGCAGAUUCGACUCUCCUGGGUUCUCUGCCAAGUUCCUGACCUACACUGCGCAUGUUCAGCAGAUCAACAAGAUCCUCCACUCCAUCCAAGUCCAGCUAGGAGAGUCGGAGCGAGCCAUGGCAAGUGUCAACAUGGAGAAGGAGGGCCUCAUCAAGCUGCUGGAAUUCUUCAAGGAGAAACGUAUCCAUGUAAAAUCCUUGGGCACUGACCGCCACCCUGCCAUACGAAAACACAUGGAGGUGCACGAACCUGGGACCGCCCACUACUUCGACAUUUGGCACAUCUCCAAAAGUGUGAAGAAAAAGCUGAACGCAGCACGAAAACAAGCUGGAUGUCAACCGCUUGAAGAGUGGACGAGGCGACCACCAACCACAUGUACUGGUCUGCCAUGGCUGCGGGAGGCAACAGGGAGCUGCUCGCCGAGAUCUGGCUGAGCAUGCAGAACCACGUCAUCGACAAGCACACUGGUCAUGGGGGCAGCUACAUGCGUUGUGUGCACUAGGAAAUUCUCGAUGCCACAAAAAUGUGGAUGGAUCCCAACUCUUCGGCCUACAGUCACUACUAGCAGAUCACUGGGAACAAGCGCCUCCUAAAGGACCUGGCCCAGAUGCCCCCCCACGGCCAGACAUUCGCUCUGGAAUCCUUCCACAGCGUCCUGAUUGACAUCGCUCCCAAGUCCCGGGCAUUCACUCCAGAAGGCAUGCGUGCAAGGACCCGAGUGGCAAUCUUGCAUUUCAAUGAGAACGCUGAUCGCUGCCAAGCUGAGACUCAAGAGGGCAAGCCACGCUGGGCGGUGAAAACAUCCAAAGCACGCAAGGGACACCACAUAGCUUGUCCCGUCAAGACAGCACCCACCUACAGCUACGUUCACAAGCUCGUGGAGGAGGUAAUCGUAAUCAAUAGUCGAUGGCGGUGUCUUGCUACUGCGGCGAAGGCCAGCACAGACAUCUUUCCGGCGCCCAUGACUGCGGCCUUUGAUGGCCUUCAAAGGAGGCGUUAGUGGAAGCACGGAGGUCCCGCUUCGGCCGUAGUCUGCAGUAA